Molecule: long non-coding RNA, 541 nt
Organism: Nerophis ophidion (straightnose pipefish)
Lineage: Eukaryota; Metazoa; Chordata; Actinopteri; Syngnathiformes; Syngnathidae
Exons: 3
Source: RefSeq, a predicted model, not a curated record
GAGUCUGUUCCCGAUGGCUGCCACGCCCACCCGGGCCCGCCGAGUGGACAUGGACGCCACCAUGUGCCAGCGGUCCGUCCUGGUAUCGUAUGCCUCACAGUCUCCAUGAAUGGCAAACAGACUACCGCCACCUGGAGAUCCACACACACACACACGCAUACAACGUUCAAAUACUCAACAGUUUGUUCGUUUUUAAUUGGAUGUGUUCCUUUGAGUUCAUCUCUGACCGACAGCGAAGAGCACAGGGCUGGCACCCUCGCAGCGCCGUGGCCGCGUCCGGCUGUUACUGAGCACGCCUCUCUGCUCAGGCAUCAGGUGAUACUUCAGCGCCUCGAUCAGCAGGUCCUUGCACUCGGAGUGAUGACGCACCAGCAACUCCGUAUCCACGUUGCUCAUAAGGAAGUCUCGCCUCAGCAGUGGCAGCCGCACGCAUUUCAUCAACUAGCGAGGAAAGCAUCAUUUGGGGCAUAUUUGGAGUGAACCCUGAUGUGGUGUUUACAUACGAACACAAACGUCCAUGCAGCCUUUUGUCAAAGAAUAU